GCAUCAUGGGCGAAUUAUCCGCGAUGGGCGCAAGCCUGACGGAGCAAGACCGCGUGGGGGAAGAAGGCUCUUGGGUUGUAUACCCCUUUUCUCUGAUCAGUACAAAAUGACGGUACCAGAGGAAUCAGCAUCGGCUCACUCCAUGCCAGCAGCCGCGGUAAGACGGAGGAUGCAAGCGUUAUCCGGUAUGAUUGGGCGUAAAGCGUCCGCAGGUGGCAGUUCAAGUCUGCUGUCAAAGACCGGGGCUUGACUUCGGAAAGGCAGUGGAAACUGAACAGCUAGAGUAUGGUAGGGGCAAAGGGAAUUCCUGGUGUAGCGGUGAAAUGCGUAGAGAUCAGGAAGCACAUCGGUGGCGAAGGCGCUCUGCUGGACCAUAACUGACACUCAGGGACGAAAGCUAGGGGAGCGAAUGGGAUUAGAUACCCCAGUAGUCCUAGCAGUAAACGAUGGAUACUAGGUGUUGUCUGUAUCGACCCG
RNAcentral lists this ribosomal RNA (477 nucleotides) under uncultured bacterium. Its description in RNAcentral is "bacterial SSU rRNA". It matches the Rfam family "Bacterial small subunit ribosomal RNA", at positions 348 to 839 of the family's 1533-position model. The record is from RNAcentral.